GACAUUUAGCAGACCAGAGCAUGUCUUCACUUGGGGUAAGAAGAAGAAGAAGAACCGUUCCUCAACAGCUCACAUCCUUUCUCGAAGCUUUCUGAUGCCUUGUGCUCGACCACUGCGCGGCUAAAGAAGUCCACGAGACCGCUGAAAGCCUUCUGUGUGACCAUUGUAGAGAUGGACGAUAAGCUGGCCUGGGAUAGCAUGUGGACAGGCAACGAAAGCGAUCUAAACGAUAGCUGAAAUGCGGAGCAAGGCUCACAGAGGCAAACACACAGAGGAAACCAAACAAACCCAGCAAAAUGAUUGAAAGGAUGGACGACCUGGGAUAGCAUGUGGACAAGAGAAAAAAAAAACAAUCUAAAUGAUAGCUGGAAUGAGGAGCAAGAUUCACAGAAGGAAACCAAAAGAACCCAGAAAAAUGAUUGCAAGGAUGGACCGGAACAAAAACUUGGAAUGGAAAACACAUGGAGCAAGCAAAGGAACUCUGCAAAAUGUAAGUAACUCAUUUUUUGGAUUUUGUUAUAUUA
Orbicella faveolata is the source of this 524-nucleotide long non-coding RNA. NCBI's taxonomy places the organism in Eukaryota, Metazoa, Cnidaria, Anthozoa, Scleractinia, Merulinidae. The record is from RefSeq and is a predicted model, not a curated record.